ACUAAAUGUUUUCUCCCCAGAGCACUCUACUUUGUGAAGAUUGUGUGUCCUGGGCAGCUGUCCCAACUUGGGCUGGAAUAAAACUCUUUUCCUAUUUCUUUAAGAUAAUAAUAAUAAUAAUAAUAAUAAUAAUAAUAAUAAUAAUACAAGGUUUGUUUAUUUUGCAUCAAUAUCAGAAAGGUAGGAGGAGGGAAAACAGAUUCCUUCCAAAAUGCUAUCUUUCAGAAAGCUCGAUUUCUUUCCACAGUUUUCCUGCACCACAAACAUCCCAUUUCAGGUCCAGUUGACUAAUUUUUCUCAUUUUGGGUAAUUAGAUGUAACACAGUGAUGGCUUCAACAUCUCUUGAGAAUUCUCUCCCUGCGAUAUAAUGAUUUAUAUGAAAUAUGUAUUUGGUCAUUCAGAUGACCAAAAUUUAUUUCACAGAUCUGCUUGGUUUUCACCCACGGUUUCUAAAAAUGCUUCAGAGCCUUAGGAGUGAAGUGACAGCCUCAUUAUUAAUGAAGAUGACUUUUGGGCUCCACCCAAGGGCAGAGGCUGGUGGCCGGCAGGAUCAACCAUGUGAUUAGAGGGUUGGAAAUUUUAGUCCCACCCCCUGACCUCUGCGGAGGGGAGAGGGGCCGACGGUUGAAUCAGCCAGUAGCUGGUGACUGAGUCAUUCAUGACUAUGUAAUAAAGCCACUGUAAAAAUCCAAGAGCCCAGCUUCUGGUCCUGUUAUGGAGACUUUGCACGUUUGGGAAACCUCAACACCCGACGUGCCACUAAACUGCGCCCAGACUCCACGAAGACAGAAGCUCCUUUGUUGAGUAACUUAGCCCUAUGUAGCUCUUCAUCUGGCUGCUGAUUCGUGUCCUUCAAAAACCUGGAUCCAGUCCGGAAUACCACAUUACAUUCAGCCGACAUGUGUCUCCAACUUCCUCUGCUCUCUGUCUGAUUCUCAGUCUCCUAGAAUUUUAUGAACUUGACAGAUUUUAUUUUUUUAAGCAAUCUCUUCACCCAACGUGGGGCUCGAACUCACAACUCUGAGAUCAACAGUCACAGGCUCUUCUGACUGAGCCAGCCAGGCGCCCCCAUGUGUUUAACUUUUUGAGGAAAAGCGUAGCAACUGCACCAUUUUGCCUUUGUUCUGGGAAUACCCAAGAGUUACAACUUCUUCAUAUCCUCACCAAUGCUUGGUAUUUCUUGUUUUUGUUUGUUUGUUUGUUUUUUUUCUCUAUGUAAUCAUCAUCCUAAUGGGUGUGAAGUGGUGUACCAUUGAGGUUUUGAUUUUCAUUUCUGUAAUGAUUAGUGAUGUUGAAUAUUUUUUAAUGUGUUGUUUAAUGAUGUUGAACAUCAUUUGUGUCUCUUUUUCGGAGAAAUGUAUGUUCAAGUCCUACGACUCUUUUUUAAUUGGGCUUGUUGUUGAAUUGUAAGAGUUAUUUAUGUAUUCUGGCUAUUAACUCUUCAUCAGAUACCUGAUCUGCAAAUAUUUUCUUCCAUUCUUUGGGUUGCCUUUGUACUCGUUUAAUAAUGUACUAGGAUGCACAAAAGCUUUUACUUUUGAUAAAGUGUAUUUUAUCUGUUUCUCUUU
Felis catus (domestic cat) is the source of this 1569-nucleotide RNA transcript. RefSeq lists it as uncharacterized. The transcript has 3 exons. The record is from RefSeq and is a predicted model, not a curated record. Lineage: Eukaryota; Metazoa; Chordata; Mammalia; Carnivora; Felidae.